Molecule: long non-coding RNA, 527 nt
Filed under: Helianthus annuus (common sunflower)
Lineage: Eukaryota; Viridiplantae; Streptophyta; Magnoliopsida; Asterales; Asteraceae
Description: sRNA HanXRQr2_Chr02g0046971
Source: RNAcentral
GGUCAGUUUCACAACACGUUAUCAGCAUGAAAGCGUUUUUCUCAUAAACACUAGUUUCCAAGCCAUCGUCGUCACCGUAAAUCCAACACUUUUUCUCAUUGCCCCCCCCCCCCGACAAUCUGUUCAUCUGCAGAGAACCACAUAUCCCUGCUCUUGUUACUCGAUGAUUAAAUUUGAUCGAUAGCUGCCUCAUCCAUAGAAUAUACGGAUGCGACAAUCACUGAAUUUGAAAGAAUCAACAAAUGCUCGUGCUUUGGGGUGGUAUCUUACCGCGGGCAAAUCCCACUAGGAUGGGUGACCUGCUAGGAAGUUUCCACCAGGGGCGACCAAAAACAAAUCCGUGAGUUCCUGGAUGGGCAACCCAUGGGGGGCAAAGUAGACAAUAUUGGUGGUGCGAAGGCCGGAUGUUACAUUCACCGACAAAGUUGUGUAUAUGAAUAAUUAUGGAAAGCGGUUAUCAUGAAAAUGAAUACAAAUAUCACAUGAAGUUCGGUAUGGUACCGUAGUAAUAUGAUGUAUGUUUCCUU